GUAUCCGCACGAGCGCACCCUUGUCAUUAGUUGCUACAUUUAGUUGGGCACUCUAAUGAGACUGCCGGUGACAAACCGGAGGAAGGUGGGGAUGACGUCAAGUCCUCAUGGCCCUUAUAGGUAGGGCUACACACGUCAUACAAUGGAUGGUACAGAGGGUCGCCAACCCGCGAGGGGGAGCUAAUCCCAUAAAACCAUUCGUAGUCCGGAUCGCAGUCUGCAACUCGACUGCGUGAAGUCGGAAUCGCUAGUAAUCGCGGAUCAGAAUGUCGCGGUGAAUACGUUCCCGGGUCUUGUACACACCGCCCGUCACACCAUGGGAGCGGGUUCUGCCAGAAGUAGUUAGCCUAACCGCAAGGAGGGCGAUUACCACGGCAGGGUUCGUGACUGGGGUGAAGUCGUAACAAGGUAGCCGUAUCGGAAGGUGCGGCUGGAUCACCUCCUUU
RNAcentral lists this ribosomal RNA (446 nucleotides) under uncultured Gammaproteobacteria bacterium. RNAcentral describes it as "bacterial SSU rRNA". It matches the Rfam family "Bacterial small subunit ribosomal RNA", at positions 1084 to 1533 of the family's 1533-position model. The record is from RNAcentral. Lineage: Bacteria; Pseudomonadati; Pseudomonadota; Gammaproteobacteria.